ACUUAGGUAGUUUAAUAGAAAAUUUUGAUUUGUGGUGUCAAUGAUAUGAGAUUACACUCAUCUUAGGUC
This 69-nucleotide transfer RNA is filed under the name Perlodes sp. YZD-2018. RNAcentral describes it as "tRNA-His". The record is from RNAcentral. Lineage: Eukaryota; Metazoa; Arthropoda; Insecta; Plecoptera; Perlodidae.